UACGGAGGGUGCAAACGUUGUUCGGAAUUACUGGGCGUAAAGCGCGUGUAGGCGGCAUGGCAAGUCGGGUGUGAAAGCCCUGGGCUCAACCUAGGAAGUGCACUCGAAACUGCCACGCUGGAGUCUUGGAGAGGAAGGCGGAAUUCUCGGUGUAGAGGUGAAAUUCGUAGAUAUCGGGAGGAACACCGGUGGCGAAGGCGGCCUUCUGGACAAUGACUGACGCUGAGACGCGAAAGCGUGGGGAGCAAACAGG
RNAcentral lists this ribosomal RNA (253 nucleotides) under uncultured bacterium. Its description in RNAcentral is "partial 16S ribosomal RNA". It matches the Rfam family "Bacterial small subunit ribosomal RNA", at positions 524 to 776 of the family's 1533-position model. The record is from RNAcentral.